UAUCUCUGUAGAGUCUGCAUAUCAAUAAGCGGAGGAAAAGAAACUAACUAGGAUUCCCUUAGUAACGGCGAGUGAAGUGGGAAGAGCUCAAAUUUGGAAUCUUCAAGGUUUUACCUUGACGAAUUGUAGUUUAAAGAAGUGUUUUCUGUUGGUGUUUUGGUAAAAGUUCUUUGGAAUAGGACAUCAUAGAGGGUGAGAAUCCCGUAUUUGACCAUUACUUCCAGCGUUGUGAUACACUUUCAAAGAGUCGGAUUGUUUGGGAAUGCAGUCCAAAAUGGGUGGUAAAUUUCAUCUAAAGCUAAAUAUUGGCGAGAGACCGAUAGCGAACAAGUACCGUGAGGGGAAAGAUGAAAAGAACUUUGAAAAGAGAGUUAAACAGUACGUGAAAUUGUCAAAAGGGAAGCGUUUGACACCAGUGUUGUUUUUCCGAAAAAUCAAUUACGAAUGGCUUGAUUCUGUGUUGUAUUGACCUUAUCAGCUUUCUUCACUUUUUUCGAGUCUUUCUUAAUGCACUUUUCGGUUAACAAGUCAACAUCAAUUUCUUUUGUUGUAAAAGAGUCAUUCGGAAGGUGGCUUUCUUUUCGGAGAAAGUGUUUAUAGCCCUUAUGCCUCUACAAUCGGAGAGAUUGAGGUCUGCAGCGUAGAUCCUUCGGGGUUAGAUACACUUGUGCUAAGUUGUAGCUUUCCAUAGACAACUUGUUGACUAUGUUUAGUCAUGCGGCUUACUCGCUUGUGCUAUUUUACCUACGCUUAGGAUGUUGACGAGACUGUCGAUCUC
RNAcentral lists this ribosomal RNA (778 nucleotides) under uncultured Neocallimastigales. RNAcentral's name for it is "partial large subunit ribosomal RNA". It matches the Rfam family "Eukaryotic large subunit ribosomal RNA", at positions 24 to 647 of the family's 3401-position model. Lineage: Eukaryota; Fungi; Neocallimastigomycota; Neocallimastigomycetes; Neocallimastigales. The record is from RNAcentral.